This 254-nucleotide ribosomal RNA is filed under the name uncultured bacterium. RNAcentral's name for it is "partial 16S ribosomal RNA". It matches the Rfam family "Bacterial small subunit ribosomal RNA", at positions 524 to 776 of the family's 1533-position model. The record is from RNAcentral.
UACGAAGGGGGCUAGCGUUGCUCGGAAUCACUGAGCGUAAAGCGCACGUAGGCGGAUCGUUAAGUCGGAGGUGAAAUCCUGGAGCUCAACUCCAGAACUGCCUUCGAUACUGGCGAUCUUGGAGUCCGGGAGAGGUGAGUGGAACUCCGAGUGUAGAGGUGAAAUUCGUAGAUAUUCGGAAGAACACCAGUGGCGAAGGCGGCUCACUGGCCCGGUACUGACGCUGAGGCGCGAAAGCGUGGGGAGCAAACAGG